AGUGACAAUCAUUACAAUCCUCUACAAUCUCUUUUAUUGCAAUAAUGAGUGUCUUCUCCUUGAGAAAGAAUUGGUGGCUUCAGCUUUAAACCUCAAGUCCAAAACAAUUAUGUGUGCCAUGUGAAACAUGUUGGUGGAGCAUUUGGGGGGAAGGUACUAAACCAUCACUCUUUGUUGUAAUUGCAGCUGUGGCAGCCAACAAAUGAUAAAUAUGUAACUCAGAAUUGAAUAUGAACCACUUCUCAGACAUAAAGCCAGCUCUGCAAGAUGGAACACGUAACCCACAAGUAGUGGACUAUGCCCUUUUAUUCAAAUUUCUUCCAGAGUCACUGAAGUUAUUUGGAUAACCACUGAUGUGCUUUGCCUCUGCUUUCUUCAAAAUGAGAUGACAAGAAAAUGCACCCUCACCCUUGAGUUCUCUGUGUCUUUCAGAGUAAUGCCUUCAAUCUGCUCUUCCAUGUCUUGUGCUUCCCUCACUCCAGGGGUUGGCAGGACAGAGCAGUAGCCUGCUGCAGAGUACUUAUUUCUGUACAAUGAGGCAGGAGCCAACUUCCCUUCCCAUAUCAGUCCUAGCCAACAAUGAUUACACAAGCGUUUCUGCAGAAAGCAGGGCAAGAUGGCCAUGAUGACAUUGUUUCCUGACAAUAGCCACCUCACAGGUUUUCCAUUGCACUCAUCCUUUGGCACUGUACAAGGAGAUACAUCUGGAGUUGCUUAAUAACUUGUCACAGGGCCCAAAUUUUUGUUUAUAAGUUAAACAGGAAAAAAAAAAGGAAUAAAAAAAUUGAAGUAGUAAAGCACAGUAGCAAUUAUGAAAUAAAGAGCAAGAUUUUACCAGCCAUUCUCUCAUCAAUACAUAUCCAGUCAGAAAACAAACUAAAAAAACACUCUGGGAGACUGGAAAAUAGGAAAUGUCUGAUGAAACUGUGUCAAGGUCCAUUAAUUAAAGCUUUCAAUUUAAAAAGCCCCAUGGGCCUAAGUUUAAACAAAUCUGUUGUGCUCUAGGCUGAAAAUGUCUCCAUGAAAAAAGGACACAAAUCACAUCAGGCAGACCUGCAGGUCCCUCUCUUCUAAUAGCAGCCAGCUAGAGACUCCUACCUCAACCUGCCUUAGGAAUUGGGGUCGGGAAUUCUGCAUCCAUCCACUUCUGCUUCCUUCCAUGCAGUAUAUCCAGCAGUCAAAGUGUUUCUCAGUGGUAGAACUUCUCAUACUCAUAGAAGUCAUAACCAAGGUCAAGAACCUUCAUGAGCUGUGUUGUGCAAAAAACUUGUUAACAACUUAGAAUUUAAAUAAAGAUGAAUUUGCUAUUCAGUCACCAGGAGAUGAUGUACAAUCUCCAGGAAUGCACCAAGAACUGUAGGCUUUCUUUGCAAACAUCAUGGCCCCCACAAUUCAAUGCAGUCUCAUUCAACUGUAUUGCAUAGUGGAACCUUGUAUGUCAGUUCCUGUAAUGUGAGCUUCUCAGGCUGAGAGCUCUCCUCUGCUAUGGAGGUAUGAGCUUAAUUACCUGUUCAAUUACAAGAAGGCCACUGUUCACUAGAGGUAAGUUGGUUGAUUUCCCAACCUUUUGUAACUUGAGAAAAUUGAGAUAUGUGUGUGCAAUGACAUUUGUGUGGCUGAUAAGGAACAUGCAUUUGUGAAAUACAGUAAGGGGGUUUUUUUCCUUAGCAAAAUUAUUUUAUGUAUUAUUUUGGUUUCCUAAAGACAAACCUGCAACCUGUAAACCAUGGGCUUAGAUUAUAGAUUAGUUCUGCUGUCCUAAAGAUCAGAAAACCAGAUGACUCCUUUACAGCCACUUACUGACUGCAAGCAUUCCUGCAAGACAGAAUUAGAACUGUCAUACACAUACACACACAUAUAUAUAUGAGACACCAUCUUGGUAGAACAAGAUAUAAGCACCAGUUCUCUUGUCCUGCCAAGGAAAAGACCUGUCAUUAAUGUGUUUCAUGCUACACUGGAACAGUUCUGGAGUUACCUCAAGAGCUUGAAACAAUUUGCAUGCAAUUUUGUAAGUACCUGCAACAAAGAGCAGAUCACAAGUAGUACCAUUUUGUCACUUCUACAUCCAGUUUGAGAGUAAGAACUGUUAUCUGAUUUUUUUCUGUUCUUCAGCAUAUGGAAAAUCCCAAGGAUCAGAAUGAGAAAUGUACAAAUUAAUGAUGGGUGAUGUAUCAAUAUUUCAGUAAAACAGAGAUUCUAAAAGUACAUACUGCCAAGUAUUUCUAGGCACAGAUAUAUUACCACCCAAGUAACACACCAGUUUAGCUCUGCUUCCUGGCAGCCCACCUCAGGCCUGCUCCACAUCAUCAGGUCUCUCUGAACCACUAACUCUGGCCUCUCCCAGAGGUGGAAUAUAAUCACUGCUAUUCACUGCCUUGUCACCACUCACUUCUCCUCUGCCUUACCCACAGUUUUGCCCCUUCUUUUCAGCAAAAUGCUGAAGCAGGACCAAGUUGAUGCAUUCAUCCCAGAUGAGGAGAGGGCACGAGGUGGGGAAGUGGCACUGGAGGUAGGAAGGGUUAAGAGCAGGACAGGAUCCCAGUACCAGCUGUUUUCCUAACAGAGGUGAGGUUGCCCAUAGCAACCAUCAGCAGAGCAGAUGUGCAGCAGGUGACCAAGAGGGAAAGGUGGAGAGGAGGGCUGAGAGGGGAACCAUGACAACACGAGUUCAUUAUAGGUGUGGCAGCUCAGCUGUGCCAAACAACUGGCACUCUGACAGACACUUCUUUGGAAAGGAGGUUUUAAAGUGAUCCAGUGGCAGCUGUAUGAAUCUUGAUGGAACAUUUCCCUAUGAGGAGAGCAGUCUGGAAAACAAAUGUAAAGGUAUUUGAGAGGGAGAAAAGGAAAUACCUGAGCUGAGCCAGUGUAGAUAUACAUACAAAUCAAUAUUCAGCUUUGAUAGCUGAUAAUUCAAAGCCAUAAAAUUAACAGUGAGAUCACAUUUAACAACAUCAUUCUGUAACCAAACACUAGCAUAAGAAACAACUCUGGAGAUGUUCAACAGGUAUUGCAUUAGUUCAGAUCCUGAGCUUAUUUACAUGAACACAAAUUUAUUUUCAUUUAUUUCACCGAUGACAGUGCAGGCUUAAAUUAGCAUAGUAUAUAAAGGAGGGUGACCUGCACACACCCUCACAUAAGUCACAUUUAAUCUAAGUCUGUAGAGAUAAAAAAAGAUCUUAUUCCUUUACAUCAGUAAAAUUUUCCUGUUCCUUUCUCUUGGUAAAGUGUGAGAAACUACAGCUAAUGGGAAAAGCUCAGCUGGUGAUGAGCUUUGUAGUUUUGUCAUAUCAAAGAUUUUAGGGAGCUGACAACAGGAAUUAUUAUAUCUUUGUGUUUCCUUUCCUUAAAAUGUGGUUUUAAUAAUUCCUGAUUUUUCUUCUUAGCUUUUUAAUUGAUUUAGACAAAUGCUCUCAUUUUAGAAUGAGCACCAAUGUAAUCAGUGCCUUGGGUUUAGAAUUAAUGGACAAAUAUUUGCUAAUAUUAAGGUGAAAAUUCUUCCUCUGAAUGUGGUAUUUUUGAAGUUAGUAUUUUGGGAAUUUCAUCAAGCUGUUAACUGGAAUCUGCAAAAAUGUUUCUUGAAUAAAACUUGUAAGGCACUGUACUGCUAUUUCAUGGCACUGGGAUCUAUCACCAGUAUUGUUUCAAGGAUAAGAUAGUAACAAAAACUGGUAUGAGAUGAAAUCUGGCUCCUAUUGACAAUAAGAAUG
Pyrgilauda ruficollis (rufous-necked snowfinch) is the source of this 3707-nucleotide long non-coding RNA. RefSeq lists it as uncharacterized. The transcript is spliced from 4 exons. The record is from RefSeq and is a predicted model, not a curated record. NCBI's taxonomy places the organism in Eukaryota, Metazoa, Chordata, Aves, Passeriformes, Passeridae.